Molecule: ribosomal RNA, 164 nt
Filed under: Acinetobacter lwoffii
Lineage: Bacteria; Pseudomonadati; Pseudomonadota; Gammaproteobacteria; Moraxellales; Moraxellaceae
Description: partial 16S ribosomal RNA
Rfam family: Bacterial small subunit ribosomal RNA
Source: RNAcentral
UCCUACGGGAAGCAGCAGUGGGGAAUAUUGGACAAUGGGGGGAACCCUGAUCCAGCCAUGCCCCGUGUGUGAACAAGGCUUUAUGGUUUAAAGCACUUUAAGCUGGAGGAGGGUACAGAGACUUAUACUCGGGAUAGUGACGUACUCGCAGAUAGCCCGACGCC